RNAcentral lists this ribosomal RNA (433 nucleotides) under uncultured bacterium. Its description in RNAcentral is "partial 16S ribosomal RNA". It matches the Rfam family "Bacterial small subunit ribosomal RNA", at positions 29 to 507 of the family's 1533-position model. The record is from RNAcentral.
AACGAACGCUGGCGGCAUGCCUAACACAUGCAAGUCGAACGAGACCUUCGGGUCUUGUGGCGCACGGGUGCGUAACGCGUGGGAACCUGCCCUUAGGUUCGGAAUAACUCCCCGAAAGGGGUGCUAAUACCGGAUAAUGUCUUCGGACCAAAGAUUUAUCGCCUUUGGAUGGGCCCGCGUUGGAUUAGCUAGUUGGUAGGGUAAAAGCCUACCAAGGCGACGAUCCAUAGCUGGUCUGAGAGGAUGAUCAGCCACACUGGAACUGAGACACGGCCCAGAAUCCGACGGGAGGCAGCAGAGGGGAAUAUUGGACACUGGGCGAAAGCCUGAUCCAGCAAUGCCGGGUGAGUGAUGAAGGCCUUAGGGUUGUAAAGCUCUUUUACCCGGGAUGAGAAUGACAGUACCGGGAGAAUAAGCUCCGGCUAACUACGUG